GACUCUGUAUUAAAAAUGAUAAUAAUAGAACAGGAUGGAGUGCAGCCAUGCUGGUACGUCAAGGGGAGAGGCAGCUGCCGCAAUAGACGUGUUCCUCAUGAUCUGGCGCCACAAGAUCACCAUCUUUUGGGACGCCAAGGAGUCCAGCACAGUGUUCGAGCUGAAGCAUAUUAUUGAGAGCAUCCUCAAACAGCCGCCCAACAAGCAGCGGCUGUACAAGGACGACCAGCUCUUGGAUGAUGGCAAGACACUGGGCGAGUGUGGCUUCACCAGUCAAACAGCACAGCCACAGGCCCCAGCCACCAUGGGGCUGGCCUUCUGGGCAGAUGACACCUUUGAGGCCCUGUGCAUCAAGCCAUUCUCCAGCCUGCCCGAGCUGCCUGAUACGAUGAAGCCCCAGGACUCAGGAAGCAGUGCCAAUGAACAAGCAGUGCAGUGAGGUCCCCUAAGAGGCCCAUUCCCCCCAGUAAAAGAGAUUUGGGAGUCAAAAAAAAAAAA
This is an RNA transcript of Sapajus apella (tufted capuchin), 498 nucleotides long. It is a transcript of the gene named elongin-B pseudogene, with no coding region annotated. The transcript has a single exon. Lineage: Eukaryota; Metazoa; Chordata; Mammalia; Primates; Cebidae. The record is from RefSeq and is a predicted model, not a curated record.